Molecule: ribosomal RNA, 389 nt
Filed under: uncultured bacterium
Lineage: Bacteria
Description: bacterial SSU rRNA
Rfam family: Bacterial small subunit ribosomal RNA
Source: RNAcentral
GACGAACGCUGGCGGCGUGCUUAACACAUGCAAGUCGAGCGGUAAGGCCCUUUCGGGGUACGACGAGCGGCGAACGGGUGAGUAACACGUGGGUGACCUGCCCUCCAGCUCUGGGAUAAGCCUGGGAAACCGGGUCUAAUACCGGAUAUGACUCCAUGACGCAUGUUGUGGGGUGGAAAGCCUUGUGCGGCUGAGGAUGGGCCCGCGGCCUAUCAGCUUGUUGGUGGGGUGANGGCCUACCAAGGCGACGACGGGUAGCCGGCCUGAGAGGGCGACCGGCCACACUGGGACUGAGACACGGCCCAGACUCCUACGGGAGGCAGCAGUGGGGAAUCUUGCGCAAUGGGCGAAAGCCUGACGCAGCGACGCCGCGUGAGGGAUGACGGCCU